CCUACGGGCGGCAGCAGUGGGGAAUAUUGGGCAAUGGGCGCAAGCCUGACCCAGCAACGCCGCGUGAAGGAAGAAGGCUUUCGGGUUGUAAACUUCUUUUCUCAGGGACGAAGCAAGUGACGGUACCUAAGGAAUAAGCCACGGCUAACUACAGGCCAGCAGCCGCGGUAAUACGUAGGUGGCAAGCGUUAUCCGGAUUUACUGGGUGUAAAGGGCGUGUAGGCGGGAUUGCAAGUCAGAUGUGAAAACCACGGGCUCAACCUUUUGUCUGCAUUUGAAACUGUAGUUCUUGAGUACUGGAGAGGCAGAUGGAAUUCCUAGGGUAGCGGUGAAAUGCGUAGAUAUUAGGAGGAACACCAGUGGCGAAGGCGGUCUGCUGGACAGCAACUGACGCUGAGGCGCGAAAGCGUGGGGAGCAAACAGGAUUAGAUACCCUAGUAGUC
Molecule: ribosomal RNA, 443 nt
Filed under: uncultured bacterium
Lineage: Bacteria
Description: partial 16S ribosomal RNA
Rfam family: Bacterial small subunit ribosomal RNA
Source: RNAcentral